CCCUUAGAUGUUCUGGGCUGCACGCGCGCUACACUGAAGCUAUCAACACGUUUUCCCUCCCUGAGAAGGGCGGGUAACCUUUUGAAUCAGCUUCGUGGUAGGGAUCGGGGCUUGCAAUUGUUCCCCGUGAACCAGGAAUUCCUAGUAGACGCGAGUCAUAAGCUCGCAUCAAUUAAGUCCCUGCCCUUUGUACACACCGCCCGUCGCUACUACCGAUUGAACGUUUUAGUGAGGCAUUUGGACCGACGCAUCUCAGUUUAACCGCUGGUUUGUGUUGGAAAGACUUCCAAACUUGAGCGUUUAGAGGAAGUAAAAGUCGUAACA
RNAcentral lists this ribosomal RNA (324 nucleotides) under uncultured eukaryote. RNAcentral's name for it is "partial 18S ribosomal RNA". It matches the Rfam family "Eukaryotic small subunit ribosomal RNA", at positions 1470 to 1796 of the family's 1831-position model. The record is from RNAcentral.